GAGAGCGUCUAGGCGAACAAUGUUCUUAAAGUUGGACCUCAAAUCAGGUAGGGAGUACCCCGCUGAACUUAAGCAUAAUCAAUAAGCGGAGGGAAAAGGAACCAAACCGGGAUUGCCUUAGUAACGGCGAGUGAAGCGGCAAAAGCUCAAAUUUGAAAUCUGGUACCUUCGGUGCCCGAGUUGUAAUUUGGAGAGGGCAACUUUGGGGCCGUUCCUUGUCUAUGUUCCUUGGAACAGGACCGUCAUAGAGGGUGAGAAUCCCGUGUGGCGAGGAGUGCGGUUCUUUGUAAAGUGCCUUCGAAGAGUCGAGUUGUUUGGGAAUGCAGCUCUAAGUGGGUGGUAAAUUCCAUCUAAAGCUAAAUAUUGGCGAGAGACCGAUAGCGAACAAGUACAGUGAUGGAAAGAUGAAAAGAACUUUGAAAAGAGAGUGAAAAAGUACGUGAAAUUGUUGAAAGGGAAGGGCAUUUGAUCAGACAUGGUGUUUUGUGCCCUCUGCUCCUUGUGGGUAGGGGAAUCUCGCAUUUCACUGGGCCAGCAUCAGUUUUGGUGGCAGGAUAAAUCCAUAGGAAUGUAGCUUGCCUCGGUAAGUAUUAUAGCCUGUGGGAAUACUGCCAGCUGGGACUGAGGACUGCGACGUAAGUCAAGGAUGCUGGCAUAAUGGUAUAUCCCA
RNAcentral lists this ribosomal RNA (670 nucleotides) under Saccharomyces cf. cerevisiae/paradoxus. RNAcentral describes it as "LSU rRNA". It matches the Rfam family "Eukaryotic large subunit ribosomal RNA", at positions 1 to 647 of the family's 3401-position model. The record is from RNAcentral. Lineage: Eukaryota; Fungi; Ascomycota; Saccharomycetes; Saccharomycetales; Saccharomycetaceae.